UCAUUGGUUUGGGUGACCAUUGCCAACAUAAUUGACAGCUUUAUCAUUGAAACAGUAUUUCGCUGCCUUAAAACAGAGAAACUCAAAAAGAAAAGAAACUCAUCUGUACUAAGUUAACAUGUAAACAAGCGCAAUGUAUAUGUUAUUUCUGCUACUUUGUCUUAAAUUUAACGCGCUGGGUUUCCAGGCCAUGGUGGCAAUGGAGAAGCUGUCUGCUACGGUCAGGACUGGCGGGACUGUGACCGUUUGAAAGUUUACUGUCUCUUACUUUGACGUAUAUAUUUUUAGGGUUUGUUGUAAAUUUAUGUCAUGUGUGAUCGUUAAGGUGAAAUUUUAAUAUGUUUUUAGUAUUGCGAAGAGAAUUUUAAGUUUUGUAAUUUAUGCUGCGCUCUAUAUAGUACAAACAGAAUGGUGAUUUUUUUUUAAUAUUUUAGGCCAAAAAUAAUGUUUUGGUUUAUUGUUUUAUGUGUAUUGGGGACUUGAGCGCGUUUAGUUUGAUGAACCGGCUGUGUCUAAGAGACAUACUAUAAAAGAUUCUGUUAUGGAGCUGCGAAAGAGUAAGCUGAGCAAGUGACAAAAGAAUACCGGAGGAUGGACAGCGCAGAAACCCAGUAUAUCUGAAGCAGAUCUUCAUGGAUCCUGUGGAAAGAAAGGAAUUAGGC
This is a long non-coding RNA of Cryptotermes secundus, 662 nucleotides long. RefSeq lists it as uncharacterized. Lineage: Eukaryota; Metazoa; Arthropoda; Insecta; Blattodea; Kalotermitidae. The transcript has 3 exons. The record is from RefSeq and is a predicted model, not a curated record.